This is a long non-coding RNA of Triticum dicoccoides, 385 nucleotides long. RefSeq lists it as uncharacterized. The transcript is spliced from 4 exons. The record is from RefSeq and is a predicted model, not a curated record. NCBI's taxonomy places the organism in Eukaryota, Viridiplantae, Streptophyta, Magnoliopsida, Poales, Poaceae.
UGGGGUUCUGGCAUGGCGUGCCUGAUGUUGCCCGUGCUCCCGUUCCUAUGCCCAUGAAGUUGUACGGUUGCUUCGAUCAUGUACAAAAUCAUAAAUUGAGACGGGAUUGGGCUAACAUUACUAGUCCUCGGGCAACAACGAAUAGCAGGUGUAAGCCAUCACAGUCUUCUGUUUUCCAAAACAGCAGUCUUGCCUUCGUUGAGUGAGUAUGAGCUCUGGACAGCGAUGCCCCGACCAAGCCCAUGAUGGCCAGACAGUACAAUAAUGCAUCCUCACUGGGACUAUGUCACCAAUCUUUAGUAUCAUCUUUCUGUGUAGGUUCCACUCGGUCUCAUCUUCGUCCAGCUCUCCACCGUCACCGUGUGAUGUCGAUGUUGUUCCACCU